GCCAGUGCACAAUAUCCUGCCAAUGUGCCUCAGAAGGUUGAUAAGCAUUUUUUCUUCACUGUUGGUCUCGGAACCAGCCCAUGCCAGCAUAACCAAACCUGCCAAGGACCUAAUGGAACCAAGUUCGCCGCUUCAGUGAAUAAUGUAUCGUUUGCAAUGCCGACUUCAGCAUUACUCCAGGCUCAUUUCUUCGGUCAAUCUAACGGAGUUUACACCCCUGAUUUUCCUAGCACUCCUUUAACUCCAUUUAACUAUACAGGCUCACCACCUAACAAUACUAUGGUAAGCAACGGAACAAAGGUAGUAGUGCUUCCUUUUAACACUUCCGUGGAGCUAGUUAUGCAGGACACGAGCAUUCUUGGAGCCGAAAGCCACCCGCUUCAUCUACAUGGCUUCAAUUUCUUCAUCGUCGGCCAAGGUUUUGGCAACUUUGAUCCAAAUAAGGACCCUGCAAAGUUCAAUCUGAUUGACCCCGUUGAAAGGAACACUGUUGGUGUGCCAUCAGGAGGUUGGGUUGCAAUUCGUUUUCUAGCUGACAAUCCAGGUAAGUGACAUGUUAAACACCAAUUAGAUUCAUCAAAUGCUUGCUUUGAGUUGAUGAUGACCACUGACAACAAGAACCACAUGCAUGCAGGGGUAUGGUUCAUGCAUUGCCAUCUAGAAGUGCACACCAGCUGGGGCUUGAAGAUGGCUUGGAUUGUCUUGGAUGGUGAACUUCCUACUCAGAAAUUGUUGCCUCCACCAGCAGAUCUUCCUAAAUGUUGAUCGAUAUGACACUUUUAUUUUGACCAAAAAGCUGCCUCAACUUUUUGCUUUAAUUUCUACCAUUUUGAUUUAGUGACUAUUUUUUUUCUUUUUGGCAUUGGCCUAUCAAUGGUCCAAAUUUGUUUUCUUGAUUCUCGAGGACUUAAACAAGUAAGCGAGCAAUUUAUUUUGAAAUAAGAUCUGCAAUUGUCAAUACAAAGAAAUCACAAUAACAUACUGGCAAUCCUUUUGUUAAUUCAAUCUUAGCCUAUGAAGCAUAUCUACAAUUUUCAACUCUUUCACAGUAAAUUUAUUGCUUUUUUUUUUCAUUAAAAUACCAUUGCCCUUAUUAAUCAGCUCAAACUGAAUCAUACCAACUUAGCUAGUUAACUAUAACCAUCUCUCAGAAGCUUCGUUAAUAAUAAUAGGAUCUAGUCUCAUAUAAAGACCCACUUUACUAUAGAAUUUGUUAGUGUUCAUUAAAGCUUUCAACUUGACUGAAGUUGUAUAACUCUCUCUUAACUUUGCAUGAAAAAUUCACAUUGCAAGGACUUUAAUGUCGGCUGUAUCUUAUCAUGAAAGGUCAAUAUUGAAAAUUUGAACUUCGUGGUGAGGUGUGCUGGAAGCUGUGAGUAUACACAAACAUGCAAAUACAGAAAGAAUGAAAAUUCUGAAGAUAGAAAGUUACAAUUUUUAAAUAUAGAAAAUUGUUAUUGUAAUUCCAAAUUAACGUAGGAUUUUUAGUGAGUUAGGCAAGGUGUUUUGAGCUAUAAGACUUUUCUCUCAAAGAAAAUUAGCAAAUCCACGAGCUUCCACCUCUAUCCGAUCUCACAAUUUUAUUUGUUUCUCUCACUUAUAAUCCUUAUUUACUAAGACAUGCAAUCCAAGAAGAUAUGUGUUAACAUUAUCCUUAUAACACCCAUAAUCAAUUCGGUCGUUGGGUCUGAGCUACGAGAUAUUACAAUUACUGAAUGAGUAAAUUUAAAUCAUUAUGCAACAUUCAAUCUUGAGCAUUUAUAACGUAAAAGUCUUCAUAAAUCAGUCUUUCAAUUGCUCCAAAACUCUAUUAAAUAAAUAUGAUAUUUAUCUCUAAAAAAUAACAUUUUAAUCACUAAAAGAUAAUAAAAUUUUCAUAUCUAAUCACUUUAAGCAAUUCAGUUGAGAGUUUUAGCACGCUUCUCCCCAACCUUUAAAUAAGAGAAUAAUAACUUUCAGCGCACUUAAACCCACGUUUUCCUGCACUAGCACAAUAUCUAUGUCAAUCGAGCUAAGACUCAAUCGACAGGUCUUUUAGGAUUUUUAAAUAAAUUAGAAAAAAAAUUAAGUCAAAUUAAAUCAAAAUCAAAAGGUUUUUUUUAUUUUUAGAUUUUGAUACAUAUCAAUCUUUUUUGUAAUUUUGCAUUGUAUUUCAAUGAUUUUUCUUCACUUAUUAAUUGUACUUUAGAAUAAAUAGAUAAAAUAUAUUUUUAUUAAGUAUUUAUUAUUUUUGGAAUUUUCCAUCAAGAUUAUAUAAUAUAAGCCAAAAUUGUAUAUUUUAAUAGAGAAUGAUAAUUACAUUUAAAAGUUAUAACUAAAACAAAAAUAAUAUUAUUAUUUUUAUUAACUUUUCAAAAAUAUUGUACUUAAUUUAAGUUCGGAUCACUUCAAGUUAUUUGUUUUGAUUAUUUCGAAUUCAAGUUGGAUGGGCUCAAGUUGUUGACUUCUCAUGAUAAAGUCCAGUUGAUCAAGUCAAAUUUUCAAAUUUAAGUCAAAAUUGAUAGAUAUAUGUCAUUAGUAUAUUAAUCUUAUGUAAAUAGUAAUUCAUUUGUAAUUAGAAGAAAUAAUAAAUUAAAAUAAUAUUUAUAAUUUUAUUUGAUGGGACAAUUUUUUUUCACUUUUGGUAAAUGGGUGGAAAAAUAUUGUUUCUGGAUAUAGCCAUGGGGAAUACGUUGGGGUGGGUAUGUUUAAUCUUUGCCUUUUUGUGGGAGAAAGAGAGAGUGGUUGGCAUGUAAAAGUCUAAUUCAGUAAUUGACACAAUUAAGCAGUUUGUAUAUUUGACUCAAGCUAAUCUUCAGUUUCUAUAUAUAUCCCUUAAGAAAGAAGUUUAAUUUUUGUAGCUAUCAGUCUGCUCUUGCUUGAAGAACAGUUGCUUCCAUGGGGGCUUCCUCCUUAUUCCACCAUGACCUGUUUCUUCAUUAAAAUUGAAAAGGAUAUUGCAUGAGAUCUAACUCUGAAAUGACUGCUUGAUGUGAACUCUGAAAUUUGCUUUACAACUAAUACAUGGUAGGUAAACGUCAGUGUCAUGUUUGGGGCUAAUGAUAUACGACCAUGUGCCUAACAAUAUUUCUAUCCAGUGGUAUUGAAGUUUACAUCGAAAAUGACAUCAUGCAGAUAUUACAUUUACAUGUUGAAUAAAUGAUCUAUGCUUAAUGAGGGAAGGUCUAAAGUUACAUGCUAUAUAUGGUGAUGUCUUUUUGAGACAGGCAUGGCAUUCGACAGCUUCGAAGCGGUUGGGCGGAUGGGCCAGCAUAUGUGACUCAGUGUCCCAUACAAACUGGCCAAAGCUACGUUUACAACUUCACCAUUAUAGGCCAAAGAGGGACUCUCUUCUGGCAUGCCCAUAUAUCAUGGCUAAGAGCCACUCUUUAUGGUCCCAUUAUCAUUCUUCACAAGCGUGGCAUACCUUACCCUUUUGCUAAGCCUUACAAGGAAGUUCCCAUUGUCUUCGGUAACGAAAUCAUCAAUGAACCGAUCCAUUAAGAUUCUACAUUUAUUUUGAUAACUCAAAUUGACAUGAACCCCUUUAUGAUAAAAUUGCAGGAGAGUGGUUCAAUUCAGAUCCUGAGGCUGUAAUUAGCCAGGCACUCCAGACUGGUGGGGGUCCAAAUGUCUCUGAUGCUUAUACCAUCAAUGGUCUCCCCGGACCACUUUAUAACUGCUCAGCCAAAGGUAAUAAAUAGCUAAAAUUUUGUCUUAAGCUUUAGACAUACACACACAUGCACACAUACAUUAUAGAGCUAUGGGAUUCACUUGUGGACUGACAACUUUGACAGAUACAUUCAAGCUGAAGGUGAAGCCUGGCAAAACUUACCUUCUGCGUUUAGUCAAUGCGGCACUCAAUGACGAGCUCUUCUUCAGCAUAGCAAAUCACACACUAACUGUUGUUGAUGUUGAUGCCGUUUAUGUUAAACCAUUCAAGACUGAAACUCUUCUCAUCACCCCUGGUCAAACCACAAAUGUGAUCCUUAAGACCAAACCAAGCUAUCCAAAUGCCACUUUUUUCAUGACGGCUAGACCAUAUGUGACAGGCCAAGGAACAUUCGAUAAUUCAACUGUUGCCGGUAUUUUAGAAUACGAGUCACCACCCAAUAGCCUUCAUUCAAGCAUAAUGUUGCCCUUGUUUAAACCAAUUCUACCUGCUUUGAACGACACUUCCUUUGCUACAAAAUUCGGGAGUAAACUCCGUAGCUUGGCCAGUGCACAAUAUCCUGCCAAUGUGCCUCAGAAGGUUGAUAAGCAUUUUUUCUUCACUGUUGGUCUCGGAACCAGCCCAUGCCAGCAUAACCAAACCUGCCAAGGACCUAAUGGAACCAAGUUCUCAGCUUCAGUGAAUAAUGUAUCGUUUGCAAUGCCAACUUCAGCAUUACUCCAGGCUCAUUUCUUCGGCCAAUCUAACGGAGUUUACACCCCUGAUUUUCCUAGCACUCCUAUAACUCCAUUUAACUAU
RNAcentral lists this long non-coding RNA (4450 nucleotides) under Gossypium barbadense (sea-island cotton). RNAcentral describes it as "long non-coding RNA (GBAR_LNC022138)". Lineage: Eukaryota; Viridiplantae; Streptophyta; Magnoliopsida; Malvales; Malvaceae. The record is from RNAcentral.